CGAGAAGGUCAGGACGUCUGAACUGGGAAUGUAUUCUAAGUAAGAGUUCAUUCUUCCAAUGAUGGGUUGGAGCAGAAUGAGAUGUUUAGCUCUCGCUGAUUGUUGUCUCUCCCUGAUCACCAUAGCAGACCCUUCACUUCCUUUGCAAAGGAAGUAAAUAUUCCUAAUAUAGAGCAAGGAAGUCACGUGGCUAUGCCCAUCCAAUCACAGCGGACUUAGCCAGCGCUAUGCCAUGGCGUCCAGAACUCUUCGCUCAUCCACCGAAAGGAGUGGACUCCUCAAUCUACUCACCUUUUAUUAAUAUCACAUCAUCAGCACAGUUCGUAGAGGCAUUCGCUAACCUUACCCAAGAUCCUCCGAAAGCCCGUUACGAGGAUAUCGAUGCAUUGAUCUAUUCAGCUCUACAUUUGAUUCCGUCGAAGAAAAUGGCGUCUUUCAUGGGUUUAAACCCCAGUCAUCGUUGGCUUGUCAUUAGUAUCGGUUUCUUUUGAAAUUCUGUGGAAUUUCGCUGAUUGGGGCUUUGGACUAAGGCAGUUCAACUAUUAAACUGAGCAAUCAGCAGUGUCUGGAUUGACAUGUUCAACUCCAAUACAUCUUAUUUAUCUUUUCUUGCAUAUUUUCAUGUUAAUACUUCUUUACUCAAAGCUAUUAUAUAAUUGCAUUUUAAAGAUAUGUAUUUAGUUUUUGAAAAUCUGCAGAUAUUUGAAAUAUUUACCUUAUUUAAAAUAAAAUACUGAAAA
Molecule: long non-coding RNA, 740 nt
Organism: Carcharodon carcharias (great white shark)
Lineage: Eukaryota; Metazoa; Chordata; Chondrichthyes; Lamniformes; Lamnidae
Exons: 3
Source: RefSeq, a predicted model, not a curated record